CUGAGAGAGAUAUGCAACAACGCAAGUUAUCAUGUGAUAAUAUUUUCUUGUAUUUCGAUCGAUGUUAAUUCUGUUCGGAAGUAACUUGUGUUACUAGUUAAGUGUUAUGAGUGACUAUUGUUGUUGAAUGAUGACUGCCUACCUUGGAUUUUGUUUCAUAUUAAUAUGCUUCACAGGAUUGAAGUAUACUGAAGCUGCUGAAACAUGCUUUCCCACUGUGGACUGUGGUUUUAAUAUCGAUGGUUGCACUUCUUUCUGUGUUGAUAAAUUCUGUGCAGGAUCAGCGAGGUGCGUCGGAAACAACCAGUGUUGUUGUGGUGGCUGUGUUGUAAAGCCGCCUAGAUAUUAAGAACAAAAAUGAUCUUAACCAACUCCUACAUUAUAGACCAUGGGAGUAUGAAAUUAAUAAUGAAUAUAUCUAAUUAGUGCAUAAACGAAAAUACCAAUAACAGAAUGUUAUUAUUAAG
Long non-coding RNA from Mytilus trossulus (common blue mussel), 467 nucleotides. RefSeq lists it as uncharacterized. Lineage: Eukaryota; Metazoa; Mollusca; Bivalvia; Mytilida; Mytilidae. The transcript is spliced from 3 exons. The record is from RefSeq and is a predicted model, not a curated record.